GCUGUUUUAAUUUGCAAAAAUUCUCAAGCAUACUUACCUUGCAUUUAUUGCCUGAUCAAAACAGGAUCCGAGGAGAGGAAUGUCAUACUCUUAGAUCAAAGACUUUGGAAUUAAAAACUUGUCAACUCUUAUUGGCAUAUUGCUUAUUAGAGGGACCAUGGGCUAUCAUUUUCUUUCUUUUCUCUUUCUUUUUCAGGUGGAUACCGAGGUACCCUUAAUUCUACUGCCGGACACUCGUCCAUUUUUUCUGCGAGGUUGUCGAGCACUUGCUCCUUUUUAUUUCCUCGAGAUAUCCUUAUUUUUGCAUAGCCCAUGCCUCUAACGCAAUAAUACUUCGGAAGAGUGAAUCUUUUUGAAUAGAUGUCUUGAUCUUAGGAGCAUGAUAAAUCUCUCAACAAGGGUCUAACUCAUUUUGAACAAACUCAAUAUAGAGUAGAUAGCUUUUAUAAUUAUCAUAUUAAUAUUUUCAGGUUUAUCAGGCAUAUAAAACACUGAGGAUGGUAGCUAGAAUUUUUAAAUAAAUUCUCCAAGCAACAAUGAUAUCAAGAAUAAGGAACUCAUACUCUACCAUCUUACAUUCCACAGUGACUUAAGUAACACAGGGUUUUAAAUGAUUUUAUAAUAAUUGCAAGUUUUCAGGAAAUAUCACAGAGUGAGAUUAAUCAUGAUUGGAAACAUUUUGACCUUGUUAAUUUAUCAUGUCGGAGAUAAUAUUCUGCAUGAACCAAGAUAUAUGAGUAUGUUUAAAGUGUGUAGAGUAUGUACCUGAAUCGUGGAGUGGUGAAGUCGAAGUGCUUUUGGCAUGUCAGGGGAUCUCCCCCAUACUUGUUUUAUGCUUUCUUGCAUAAUAAAGUAGAGACACACAAGACAUAAUAAUAAUAAUAAUAGUAAUCUUUAUUAAUCUUGAGGCAUUUAUUACAAAUGACUAGUAAUGAACUGAAGCUAAUAAUAGAUCUAAACCGAAUUUAAAGAUAAAUAACUAAGAAGCACUGCCUCAAGAUCUAAUCUAGAUAACUUAGCGGCGCUCUAACUCCCUGAUCUUCUUAUUAGCACUAGCAAGAUCAUGCCUAAGACCUAGUAUAACAGUGUUCUAGUUAGAGAGCUGCCUAGUGACAGAGUUAACCAAGGACUGGAGCUCUAUGAUGACCCUGUCUAGCCUACGAACGUCCUCAUCAAUAUCUACUAUAGUCUUGCGACGCUUAGGAGGUGUCUCAAGAGCAUUGAGAGCAUGCUUGGGGGCUGCCUUAGGAGGGAUGAAACGGACUUUGGCUGCUCAAACCCCCUCGAAGUAAUUCCUCUCCUCCUCCGUAGUGUAGCGGAUGCUGCUGAUCUCGCCGCUCCGGUUGGUAUUGACUCCAACGACCCUCUCAUUGGGUCUGGGUGGCAGGAUCCUUAUGCCGGCUGGCACCUUGACGGUCCCUUGAGAAGUAGGGACUGUGGCGGUGCGGUGAGAACUGGUUGAGCAUGGUAGGAUUGGGCGGAGCUGCACUAGCGUAAUGGCAUGGCUUCUAGCUGUCGCUCAGUGUUGGCUGGGACGAGAGCGUGGGCGUCGGGGUCUUCCUUGGGCUUUUUGUUGAGGUCGUAGGGGACGACUUCCCAAUCGUCGUGGAACUCUUCGGCCAUUGGAGCAGCGAGGGACUAAGCAAGCUCUAGUUGAAGAAGGAGAGAAGGCUUGUAUGAAUUGGUGUUUGAAAACUGACGUCAGGGGUCUGUUUAUAUAGGGGUCAAAAAGUGCCUCUAGGGUUUGCUCGGGCUACUCCCGCCGUCGUGCGUGCGAAACUUUCCAUCUAUAUGAUUAUUUAGUUUACCAUAAAUGUGUUUAGCGCGACGGAGGAAAUCGGGACUGAGAGGCGACAGGGGCUAGGCGCCCGCCCUCUUCAUCAGGGCGCCCGCCCUGUGCCUCGCUCCUCUGUAGGCCCGCUUCCUCGAGCGUACUUCUAGAUGCAGACUUUAUUCGAAAAAUAUAUAUGUGGCCCAAAAACAUCAGAUUAAAAAAGUUGGGCUCUAAUUCUCCAUGGGAAGGUAGAAAUGGAUCACGUCUAUCUCUUCUAAUUCUUUAUUGGGCUCUAAAAAUAAUUUAAGACGUUGACCAUUUACCUUGAAUAACGUACCUUCGUCAUUUUGAAGUGUGAUAGCUCCGUGGGAUGAUGAAUUGGUUACCUUGAAUGGUCCUUCCCAUUUACUCCGGAGUUUUUCAUGCCCGAAAAGCUUCACCCUCAAAUUAAAAAGUAAUACCCUAUCUCUGGGCGCGAACUCCUUCUUCUUGAUCCUCUUGUCAUGCCACCUUUUGACUCUUUCUUUAUAGAUCUUCGAAUUGUGAUAUGCUUUCUCUCGCCAUUCUUCCAAUUCUGAUAGUUGCAUUCUUCUAUGAUCUCCAGCGACAUCUAGGUCCAUAUUCCAUCUCCUUAUGGCCCAGUGUGCUUUGAAUUCUAGUUCAACAGGUAGGUGGCAAGUCUUCCCGUACACCAAUUGGUAUGGGGACAUUCCAAUUGGGGUCUUUUAUGCUGUCCGGUAUGCCCAGAGUGCAUCAGGUAACUUGUCUUUCCAUGCCGUUCCCAUCUCAUUGACUGUUUUCUGAAGAAUAUUCUUGAUUUGCUUGUUGGAAGUCUCUGCUUGACCACUUGUCUGAGGAUGGUAGGGGGUAGCGACAUUGUGACGUAUUCCAUGUUUUGAUAGAUAGUGCUUGAAGCGUUUGUCGAUGAAGUGUGCUCCUCCAUCACUUAUCACUACUCUGGGGACUCUAAUCUUGGAAAUAUAAUUUCUUCAAACGUCCUCUUUGAACUGAUGUUGUCGGCAUGCUUGCAAGGUAGUGCCUCUACCCACUUGGAGACGUAGUCAACUGCCACCAAGAUGAACUCACACUUCUUUGAUGGGGGAAAUGGACCCAUGUAAUCUAUUCCCCAGACAUCAAAGAGCUCAAUUUGAAGGUUGUUGGUGAGUGGCAUGGCAUCUCUUGUGUUUAUGUUUCCGUGCCUUUGACAUGGCUCACAUCUUCUGAUAUAUUGCUUUAUGUCUUCAUACAUUGUAGGCCAGUAGAAUCCACACUGCCAGAUCUUUGAAUGUGUACGGAAUGCUCCAUAAUGACCUCCAUAUGGUGAUGAAUGACAUCUGUCGAUGAUCUUCCAUCCUUCCUCAGUGGUCACACACCUCGUGAGUAAGCCAUCAGAGCAUACUCGGAAGAGGUAUGGCUCAUCCCAUAUAUGUGAACGACUUUCUUGAGUAAGCUUCUUCUUGUUCGCUCCUAACAAUAUCUGCAUACCAGGGGUCAGACCUGUUAAUCUCGUAGAGCAUGUCGUCCUAGAGUGAAUCAUUGAUGGGGGUUUCCUCUGGAUUCUUAAAAUACAUUCUAGACAAGUGAUUAGCGACAUAAUUCUCUACUCCCUUUUUGUCUUUUAUUUCUAAGUCAAAUUCUUGAAGUAAUAAGAUCCAUCUAAUCAGGCGAGGUUUAGCAUCUUUUUUAGUGAGCAGAUAUUUUAGUGCAGCAUGAUCAGUGUAAACAAUUAUUUUAGCUCCAACUAAAUAAGAUCUAAAUUUAUCAAUGGCAAAGACAACAGCCAGAAGCUCUUUUUUAGUGGUUGCAUAAUUAAGUUGAGCUCCUGCCAAAGGUUUACUGGCAUAAGCAAUUGCAUGAUGCUUCUUAUCUUUAGUUUGUCCCAAAACUGCCCCCACAGCAUAAUCACUAGCAUCACACAUAAUUUCAAAAGGCAACGACCAAUUAGGGGGUUGAAUGAUUGGUGCAGAGAUGAGUGCAUUCUUUAAUAAAUUGAAAGAUGUUAGGCAUGCAUCAUCAAAUUCGAAAGGAGCAUCCUUGGCUAGCAAAAGAGUAAGUGGUCUAGCAAUAAAUGAAAAAUCUUUUAUGAAUCUGUGAUAAAAACCAGCAUGGCUAAGAAAGCUUCGAAUUCCUUUUAUAUUCACAGGUGGAGGUAGUUGUUCAAUUAGUUCAAUUUUAGCUUUGUCUACCUCAAUACCUCUUUCAGACACUAGGUGUCCCACCACUAUUCCUUCCCAAACCAUAAAAUGACAUUUUUCCCAAUUAAGGACUAAGUGUUUUUCUUCACAUCUUUGCAAAACCUUGUCUAAGUUUUCAAGACAACCAUCGAAAGUUUUUCCAUAUACAGAGAAAUCAUCCCUGAAAACUUCCAUAAUCUCUUAAAUUAUAUCAGAAAAUAUAGACAUCAUGCAUCUUUGAAAAGAAGCUGGCGCAUUACAUAACCCAAAAGACAUUCUACGGUAAGCAUAAGUUCCAUAUGGGCAUGUAAAAGUGGUUUUGCUUUGAUCAUCGGGAUGGAUCGGGAUCUGGUGAUACCCUGAAUAUCCAUCUAAGAAACAGAAGAACGAAUGGUUCGCUAAUCGCUCUAGCAUCUCAUCUAUGAAAGGUAAAGGAAAAUGAUCCUUUUUCGUGGCUUUGUUUGGUUUUCUAUAGUCUAUGCACAUCCGCCACCCUGUGACGGUGCGUUGUGGAAUUAGCUCGUUCUUUUCAUUCGUAACAACAGUCAUGCCUCCCUUUUUAGGCACAACUUGGACUGGGCUUACCCACUCACUGUGCGGCACAGGAUAUAUAAUCCCUGCAUGCAGCAACUUCAUAACUUCCUUUUUAACUACCUCUCUCAUCGCGUUGUUUAGUCUAUGUUGGGGCUCUCGAGAAGGUGAAACAGAAGGAUCUGUCGGAAUACGAUGGGUACAAAUCAUAGGACUGAUUCCUGUAAGAUCUUGGAGUGAGUAGCCGAAAACUUAGUGAUGUUUCUCAAGAAUGGUCAUCAAUCGCAGAGUUUUCUACUGAGUGAGUUUAUCACUAAUGAUCAUAGGAAUCUCUGGAUUAUUCUUUAGGAAAGCAUAGGUCAGACCGGGUGGUAAAGUUUUAAGCUCUAUGGGAGGUCUAGGUGUUUCUGCAAACUCGUCUAAGGGUUCCGGUUCAGAAGGUUCAACUUCCUCUUUUGUGAAGAAAGGAGCUUCUUCUUCUAAGUUUGGUUCAUCUAAAAGCUCUAGAGAUGUAGCCUUUACCUCCUCCAUAGGAUCGGGCAAAAGAUAUGACUCGGUCUUAUUAUUUAAGGAGUGAGAAAUCGUUAUUGGAAAUUUAAAAGCUUUUCCAAAAGAAAUGUGUAGCUUUCCAGUAUGACCUUCAUAAAGGAGUCUUCUAAAAGGUUGUCCUAUCAACAGGUCGAAGUCCCAUGUAUCAAAGAUAUAAAAGUUCAAGUGAACCAUGGAGCCUUCUACCAUAAGAGGUAGGACAUUAAUAAUUCCAAGACUGGGGACUAAUCGUCCUAAAGAUUCCUUUAUGACCUUUGUUGUGGGGGUUAAGACUAAAUUUUUAAAUAAUUUAAGUGCAAAAUAUUUAGACAUGAUGUUGAUCCCCACAACAGGAUUAUAGAGAGCAUCAAAUUGAUUAGAAUCAUAAGCACAACGUAUAGUUAUAGGAGGUGUGUCCAAACGGAUCACAUCAGAGGAAAGCUCUGACUCCUCCAACCAUUCGCUACUCAUGACUGCGAUAAGCUCUCUUAAUUGAUGUUCAGUUGGCAAACAAAUGCUAAAAUGGCCGUUUUGGGGUCUGUCAAUAGAAUGGUAGUUUGAAAUGUUUCCAAAAUCGGCAAAAAGAUCAGAUUCUAUAUCCAGCAUGAAAUCAGGUGGUGGAAUUUCUUCCUUUUGUGGCUCAGAACUUGGGAUAGCUAAAGUAGAUGGAGAAUUUGGCAGAGUGUCUACUUCGGCUUCGUGGGUUUCAUCUGAAGGGUAUUAUCCAUCUCAGCUUCUAGGAUUCUAUCUAGGAUCACUCUAGCGUCAUCAGUAGGGAUGCGAAAGAAAGAACCUCUAGACUUUGUAUGUAGCAUUUGUUUAUGAUCUUUUUGAAGACCUCGAAAAAAGUGAAAUAAAAGAAUAGGGUCUUCAAGAUUAAGGUUUGGACCAGAUUCUAAAAGAUCAGACAAAUGUUUCCAGGAUUUUCCCAAAGUUUCAUUAUCUUUUUGUUUAAAGGAUAGGACUUUGAGUCUAAGGUCACUGAUACGGUCGAGGGAAUAAAAAUCUAGGCAAAAGUUAGCUCGUAAAACUCCCCAUUCACCUCGUUGUUGACUUACCUUCUGAUUAUACCAUUGUCUAGCUUCUCCCCUUAAAGAAAAAGGAAAAAGCUUCCAACGUAAAGUUUUAUCAGAAAUGCCUUCAAUGCGAAGACAAUCACAUGUUUGCUCAAAAUCUCUAAUAUGAAGGUAAGGGUUUUCGUCUUCCUUUCCUGAAAAAGAUAGGUUUUGAAUCAUGGCAAUCAACCUAGAACUUAACCUAUACUGGGAUGUUUGGAUAGGCUAUGAUGACUCCCAUGGUAAAAGGUCACUUUCCGAAGGUGUUGCAAAUUGAUAGAUCGAUUUACAAUCUUGGUUUUCCAUAAGGUAAGAAUAAAGAAAAUAAAGAAUAUAAAAAGAUAAGAAAAGAUAAAAGUAUAGAUACAAGCUAGUAUUAAGACUCAAGGUUAUCUCAACAAACCGUCUUUCUCCCUGGCAACGGAGCCACAAAUGCUUGUUGAUAUUUGGUAACGCAAUAAGGAAUUGAUCCGCAAGCGCACGAAUAUCGGUGAGCACUUCACCCGGGAUGUUAUCCAGAGUAUCAUAUUUAUAUUUUUACCACUAGGAGAAAGCGUGCAUCUUACUGACCCGGUUUAUACUACUAACCUUUAGGCUACAAAGAAUGCGACUUGAUGUGAGUGAUGUAUAGAGAAGACUACAACUGCACUCUCGUUCUAACCUUGGUAAGGAUGAUAUACUGUUCUGUUGGGGAGGCUUACGGAAUCUAGACACCACAGAGGAUGUUCGACCCGCACCUAUAAACCCUAUUGAUCCUACUAACGGGAUAUGGGCUACAAAGGUAACUCGAAAAUGUCACGUUCCUCGCUACUACCACGGUCCAGCUAGUCAGGGGAUAUCUAUGAGUAUCCUAACCGAAACACCACGUUUAAGGUAGAGAUGAUUAUUCUAAACUCUACGCGAAGAGAUCAAAGUAAACUCAUAAACCAAAGAACAAUAAGAACUUACUAGAAUUUAGAAGUCAAAAUAUUGAAGAAUCCUAGGAGCAAGCCUCGGGUUAGAAGACUUGAUCCCGCAUGUAUAACCUCGGAGUAGACACCGACAGGCCGGGCUUCCUCUGAUCUACACCUCCACUCUAUCUCUCUCAAUCUAGUAGAACUAGUCUACUCUCACAUUGGAUGCUAAGCCCUAAGUCUACGUAGAGGAAAGGUUAUCCUUCGAGGGCACCUCUCAACUCUAUAAUGAACUUGUUCUCCUCCAGGGGCCAGGGGGUCUGCUUAUAUAGUCCCCUCAGGUGAACGUGGGCCGUCGGAUCAAACCGACAUUGAUUGAACGGUUAUCCUUGAUCCUUUAGGUCGGUGGAGCAUGAUCCGUGAGAUUUGUUGAUAUUUUGGAACGCAAUAAGGAAUUGAUCCGCAAGCGCACGGAUAUCGGUGAGCACUUCACCCGGGAAAUUAUCCAGAGUAUCGUAUUUAUUUUUUUACCACUAGGAGAAAGAGUGCAUCUGACUAACCGAUCUAUUACUACUAACCUUUAGGCACAAAGAAUGUCUUUCGAUGUGAGUGAUAAAUAGAGAAGACUGCAACCGUAGUCUCCUUCUAACCUUGGUAAGGAUGAUCUACUGUUCUAAUGGGGAGGCUAACGGAAUCUAGACACCACAAAGGAUGUUCAACCCGCACCUAUAAACCCUAUCCUUCCUGCUAACGAGAUGUGAUCUACAAAGCUAGCUCGGAAUUGUCACGUUCCUCACUACUACCACGGUCCAGCUAGUCAGGGAAUAUCUAUGAGUACCCCAGCCUAAACACCACGUUUACGCCAGCAAUGAUUACUCUAAACUCUACGCGAAGAGAUUAAAGUAAACUCAUAAACCAUAAGAACAAUAAAAUAAGAACUUACUAGAAUUUAGAAGUCGAAUUACUGAACAAUCCUAGGAGCAAGCUUCGGGUUAGGAGAACUUGAUCCCGCAGGUACAAGCUUGGAGUAGACACCGACAGGCCGGGCUUCCUCCACUCUUCACCUCCACUCUAUCUCUCUCAAUCUAAUAGAAACUAGAAGAUCUAUUUCUACCUUACAUUGGUUGCUAAGCCUAAAAAGAAAUAUUAAUUAGAGAAGAGGUUUUCCUUCGAGGGCACCCCUCAGUCUCUAUGAUAAUUUCUUCAUGUCUUCUCUAGGGGCCAGGGGGGCCUUGCUUAUAUAGUCCUCCCCUUCUAUGCGUUUUUGGGUCGAUAGGCGAGGUGGUACUAUGUUUUUCUUGAUCCAAUAGGUCAGUGGAAUAUCCCGAGCGAAGAGAGUCCUGAUCUGGCUCCAGAGGGGGGCGGGCGCCCAGGCUACCAGGGCGGGCGCCCUGGGCCUGGCCCCGUUUCGCCUCCGCUUCGGUCUCGUGGCUUCUGGAGUCUUCUAGAUGAUGUAAAAUCGUGCGGUGCGUUGAUAUCUCUAUGUAAUCCCGACAUGUGGGCCUUUCUUCCUUAUUUCCUGAUAACCCCCUGCAGAAACAGAUAAACAACAAAACUCGUGGAAUUCUGUCAGAUCAAACCCUAAUUCUAGGUGUUGGUUGCAUAUUGGUCCUUUCUCUUGUUUAUUUGAUAAUUAAAAUUGAUACUUAAGAACCGUCAACAAGAUUCACCCAUACUUAGGCUUUUACUCGUCCUCGAGAAAAGGAUGGUUAAGAAUAAUAUCUGGGGUAAACAUUUUAAAGCAUUCUCUAUAUAAUUUGCAGGGUGUCAAAAAAAUCCACUGUGUACCAUAGUCAGGGAAGUAUAUGGUUAAGAGUAAAGAUCCUUUCUUCUCAAUCCUGCCACUUGGAGUUUUUGUAUAUUUUUGAAAGAAAGUUAGCAUACCUUUUUAUCCUCAUAGGUUCUCUCAGAUCACUCAUUAGCUUUUACAUAUAUCUCACUGAGGCUGUUUUAUUUUGCAAAAAUUCUCAAGCAUUCUUACUUUGCAUUUAUUGCCUGAUCAAAACGGGAUCCAAGGAGGGGAAUGUCAUACUCUUAGAUCAAAGACUUUGGAAAUUAAAAUCUUUGUCAACUCUUGCUGGCAUAUUGCUUAUUAGAGGGACCAUGGGCUAUCAUUUUUCUCUCUUUUUUUAAGUGGAUACUGAGGUACCCCUAAUUCUACUGCCGGACACUUAUCCAUUUUUUUUCUGCGAGGUUAUCGAGCACUUGCUCCUUUUUAUUUCCUCGAAAUAUUUCUAUUUUUGCAUAGCCCAUGCCUCUAAUGCAAUAAUACUUCGGAAGAGUGAAUCUUACUGAAAUAAUGUCUUGAUCUUAGGAGCAUGAUAAAUCUCUCAACAAGGGUCUAACUCAUUUUGAACAAACUCAAUACAGAGCAGAUAGCUUUUAUAAUCAUAAUUAAUAUUUUUAGUUUUAUCAGGCAUAUAAAACACUGAGGAUGGUAGCUAGAAAUUUGAAUAUUUUGAAAUAAAUUCUCCAAGCAACAAUGAUAUCUAGAAUAAGAAACUCAUACUCUAUCAUCACAUAUUCCAAUUGACUUAAGUAACACAGGGUUUUAAAAUGAUUUUAUAAUAAUUGCAAGUUUUCAGGAAAUAUCAUAGAUUGAGAUUAAUCAUGAUUAGAAAUAUUUUAAUCCUUUUAUUUUAUCAUGUCGGAAAUAGUAGUCUGCAUAAUCCAGAAUAAAUGUAUGUAUAAAGUAAAGUGUGCAGAGUGUGUACCUGAGUGGUGG
This 9680-nucleotide long non-coding RNA is filed under the name Sorghum bicolor (sorghum). Its description in RNAcentral is "long non-coding RNA (SBIC_LNC005427)". Lineage: Eukaryota; Viridiplantae; Streptophyta; Magnoliopsida; Poales; Poaceae. The record is from RNAcentral.